AACGUAGGAGGCAAGCGUUAUCCGGAGUUACUGGGCGUAAAGCGUGCGUAGGCGGAUGGGUAAGUGAGUGGUGAAAGCGCUCGGCUAAACCGGGCGAGGGCCAUUCAGACUGCCGGUCUAGAGGCGGAUAGAGGGGUGCGGAAUUCCGGGUGUAGCGGUGAAAUGUGUAGAGAUCCGGAGGAACACCAGUGGUGCAAACGGCGCCCUGGGUCCGAACUGACGCUGAGGCACGAAAGCGUGGGGAGCGAACGGGAUUAGAAACCCCCGUAGUCC
RNAcentral lists this ribosomal RNA (273 nucleotides) under uncultured bacterium. Its description in RNAcentral is "partial 16S ribosomal RNA". It matches the Rfam family "Bacterial small subunit ribosomal RNA", at positions 524 to 796 of the family's 1533-position model. The record is from RNAcentral.